GGACGAACGCUGGCGGCGUGCCUAAUACAUGCAAGUCGAACGCUUCUUUUUCCACCGGAGCUUGCUCCACCGGAAAAAGAGGAGUGGCGAACGGGUGAGUAACACGUGGGUAACCUGCCCAUCAGAAGGGGAUAACACUUGGAAACAGGUGCUAAUACCGUAUAACAAUCGAAACCGCAUGGUUUUGAUUUGAAAGGCGCUUUCGGGUGUCGCUGAUGGAUGGACCCGCGGUGCAUUAGCUAGUUGGUGAGGUAACGGCUCACCAAGGCCACGAUGCAUAGCCGACCUGAGAGGGUGAUCGGCCACAUUGGGACUGAGACACGGCCCAAACUCCUACGGGAGGCAGCAGUAGGGAAUCUUCGGCAAUGGACGAAAGUCUGACCGAGCAACGCCGCGUGAGUGAAGAAGGUUUUCGGAUCGUAAAACUCUGUUGUUAGAGAAGAACAAGGAUGAGAGUAACUGUUCAUCCCUUGACGGUAUCUAACCAGAAAGCCACGGCUAACUACGUGCCAGCAGCCGCGGUAAUACGUAGGUGGCAAGCGUUGUCCGGAUUUAUUGGGCGUAAAGCGAGCGCAGGCGGUUUCUUAAGUCUGAUGUGAAAGCCCCCGGCUCAACCGGGGAGGGUCAUUGGAAACUGGGAGACUUGAGUGCAGAAGAGGAGAGUGGAAUUCCAUGUGUAGCGGUGAAAUGCGUAGAUAUAUGGAGGAACACCAGUGGCGAAGGCGGCUCUCUGGUCUGUAACUGACGCUGAGGCUCGAAAGCGUGGGGAGCAAACAGGAUUAGAUACCCUGGUAGUCCACGCCGUAAACGAUGAAUGCUAAGUGUUGGAGGGUUUCCGCCCUUCAGUGCUGCAGCUAACGCAUAAGCACCCGC
Molecule: ribosomal RNA, 873 nt
Filed under: Enterococcus faecium
Lineage: Bacteria; Bacillati; Bacillota; Bacilli; Lactobacillales; Enterococcaceae
Description: bacterial SSU rRNA
Rfam family: Bacterial small subunit ribosomal RNA
Source: RNAcentral